This 385-nucleotide ribosomal RNA is filed under the name uncultured bacterium. RNAcentral describes it as "bacterial SSU rRNA". It matches the Rfam family "Bacterial small subunit ribosomal RNA", at positions 29 to 441 of the family's 1533-position model. The record is from RNAcentral.
AACGAACGCUGGCGGCAGGCCUAACACAUGCAAGUCGAACGCUGUAGCAAUACAGAGUGGCAGACGGGUGAGUAACGCGUGGGAACAUGCCCUUCGGUUCGGAAUAACUCAGGGAAACUUGAGCUAAUACCGGAUACGCCCUUAGGGGGAAAGAUUUAUUGCCGAAGGAUUGGCCCGCGUCCGAUUAGCUAGUUGGUGUGGUAAUGGCGCACCAAGGCGACGAUCGGUAGCUGGUCUGAGAGGAUGAUCAGCCACACUGGGACUGAGACACGGCCCAGACUCCUACGGGAGGCAGCAGUGGGGAAUAUUGGACAAUGGGCGCAAGCCUGAUCCAGCCAUGCCGCGUGAGUGAUGAAGGCCCUAGGGUUGUAAAGCUCUUUCGCCA